RNAcentral lists this ribosomal RNA (479 nucleotides) under uncultured bacterium. RNAcentral's name for it is "bacterial SSU rRNA". It matches the Rfam family "Bacterial small subunit ribosomal RNA", at positions 57 to 507 of the family's 1533-position model. The record is from RNAcentral.
GCAAGUCGCACGAGAACGUUUCAGCUUGCUGAAACUAGUAAAGUGGCGCACGGGUGAGUAACGCGUGGGUAAUCUACCUCCGAAUUGGGGAUAACAUUGCGAAAGCGAUGCUAAUACCGAAUGACAUCUCAAUAACUCCGGUCUUUGAGAUCAAAGGUGGCCUCUCCAUGGAAGCUACUGUUUGGAGAUGAGCCCGCGUACCAUUAGCUUGUUGGUAGGGUAAUGGCCUACCAAGGCGACGAUGGUUAGCUGGUCUGAGAGGAUGAUCAGCCACACUGGAACUGACACACGGUCCAGACUCCUACGGGAGGCAGCAGUGAGGAAUUUUUGCGCAAUGGGGGAAACCCUGACGCAGCAACGCCGCGUGAGUGAUGAAGGCUUUCGGGUCGUAAAGCUCUGUCAAGUGAGAAGAACCUGCCCUUUGCUAAUAUCACUGGGCACUGACGGUAUCACUGAAGGAAGCACCGGCUAACUCCGUG